This 75-nucleotide transfer RNA is filed under the name Pseudomonadota bacterium. RNAcentral describes it as "tRNA-Val". It matches the Rfam family "tRNA". Rfam says of the family: Transfer RNA (tRNA) molecules are approximately 80 nucleotides in length. Their secondary structure includes four short double-helical elements and three loops (D, anti-codon, and T loops). Further hydrogen bonds mediate the characteristic L-shaped molecular structure. tRNAs have two regions of fundamental functional importance: the anti-codon, which is responsible for specific mRNA codon recognition, and the 3' end, to which the tRNAs corresponding amino acid is attached (by aminoacyl-tRNA synthetases). tRNAs cope with the degeneracy of the genetic code in two manners: having more than one tRNA (with a specific anti-codon) for a particular amino acid; and 'wobble' base-pairing, i.e. permitting non-standard base-pairing at the 3rd anti-codon position. RNAcentral also lists the same sequence under 2 other names. The record is from RNAcentral. Lineage: Bacteria; Pseudomonadati; Pseudomonadota.
GGGCGCAUAGCUCAGUGGUAGAGCGCCACCUUGACACGGUGGAGGUCCAUAGUUCGAUCCUAUGUGCGCCCACCA